Molecule: long non-coding RNA, 684 nt
Filed under: Pan troglodytes (chimpanzee)
Lineage: Eukaryota; Metazoa; Chordata; Mammalia; Primates; Hominidae
Description: long non-coding RNA NONPTRT000073
Source: RNAcentral
CGUGGUUACCAUCAUGCUGUGUGAUGCUCCUCAGAAUCCUAGAAUUAGACUAGAUUUUCCACUUUCCGCACACAUCUUCAGGUGGGGUCGCAAAUACUCCAUAUGACAGACUAUCACAUACGCUGGCCACAGAACUUCAAUUAUUCAGGCUCUCACCACACACUUGUUCAUGGGCGCAGCAAAGAAGAGGGAUCCACAGAGCUGGAGCCGUGAGGGCUGACACAUUGGAAUGAAAGCUGGCAGAAUUCGUAGGGAGAGCUUUCCCAUCCUGCCAGCCCCAUGUCUGGCUUUAAGACAGUUCUAUUAGUGAAUUAACUGUUCUCAAAACCCCAAAUUAAUUUGAACCGAAUGUUACUAAAAAUGAAAUAGAAUAAAGUGACCUACUCUUGCCUCAUCUGGAGUUAUUACGAAGGAGCUCCGCAGCCUGACUGAGCUCUGGAGAGCAGGGCUCUGUGCACACGCCUCCUGGUCCAGAGGCCUCCGUGACCAUCCAUGAUGCCACUCUGUCCCCUCAGCAAGCUGCCUUUUUCUUCCUAGCACCUGCCCCAGCGGUGGUAUGUUUUCCAGUCAGUUACCACCUGUCUCAUCAGAAUGGAAGCUCCAUGAGAGCAGGGCCUUUGUCUUGUCCCCGUGUAUCUCCAGUGCAUAGGACAGUGCUGACACAGUGCAGAGUCUAAAUAAACG